RNAcentral lists this ribosomal RNA (253 nucleotides) under uncultured bacterium. Its description in RNAcentral is "partial 16S ribosomal RNA". It matches the Rfam family "Bacterial small subunit ribosomal RNA", at positions 524 to 776 of the family's 1533-position model. The record is from RNAcentral.
UACGUAGGGUGCAAGCGUUGUCCGGAAUUAUUGGGCGUAAAGAGCUCGUAGGCGGUCUGUCGCGUCUGCUGUGAAAACUCGGGGCUUAACCCCGGGCCUGCAGUGGGUACGGGCUGGCUAGAGGUAGGUAGGGGCAAGCGGAAUUCCUGGUGUAGCGGUGAAAUGCGCAGAUAUCAGGAGGAACACCGGUGGCGAAGGCGGCUUGCUGGGCCUUACCUGACGCUGAGGAGCGAAAGCGUGGGGAGCGAACAGG